AGAUUGAGAGAUCUAUUGAAGAAUUAAGACAAUCUAAAGAAGAGAAGGCCAAAGCUGGGAAAAAUGUAGAAGAUGGAGCAGCUGGUCUGUAAAGAAGUUCUCAAGAGCUUUCUAAGAGUUUGGAAGAGCACGAAAAGGAGUACCAAGUAAGAAUUCUAAAAAUACUGGGUACAUACACACACACACACACGUAUGUACGUGUGUGUGUGUGUGUGUGUAUAUACAUAUGUGUGUGUGCGCGCCGAAAAUGGAACAUUCUUGUUUGACUAAUAUGAUUUCGUAACAUAUAGGUAAGUCUUACUAUAGGGUGUACUAGCUGUAAGAGCAGUGGAAAUGAAGACAAGUGCCUUGAAGAUCAAUUAGGUGAUGCUAAGAUAGAAGUUGGAAGAACGGAGACUGAAUUAAAGCAGUUGGAGACAAGAAUAAUUCAUUGCGAGAAAUAGCGGAAGGAGAAAAGCGGUUCUGACUUUGAAUUUUGUUUUAUUGCUUUGUAACUGAACUUUCAGCAGUCAUCGUUUUGCCUUUUGCACCAGACACUGGAAAGUUCAAAAAUCAUCAUAUAAUAAUCCAAAAAUUGCAAUAGAAAAG
Molecule: long non-coding RNA, 588 nt
Filed under: Olea europaea subsp. europaea
Lineage: Eukaryota; Viridiplantae; Streptophyta; Magnoliopsida; Lamiales; Oleaceae
Source: RNAcentral